UACGUAGGGACCAAGCGUUGUCCGGAAUCAUUGGGCGUAAAGCGCGCGUAGGUGGCCAUUUAAGUCCGCUGUGAAAGUCAGAGGCUCAACCUUUGAAAGCCGGUGGAUACUGGAUGGCUAGAGUACGGAAGAGGCGAGUGGAAUUCCCGGUGUAGCGGUGAAAUGCGCAGAUAUCGGGAGGAACACCUAUGGCGAAGGCAGCUCGCUGGGACGUUACUGACGCUGAGACGCGAAAGCGUGGGGAGCAAACAGG
RNAcentral lists this ribosomal RNA (253 nucleotides) under uncultured bacterium. RNAcentral describes it as "partial 16S ribosomal RNA". It matches the Rfam family "Bacterial small subunit ribosomal RNA", at positions 524 to 776 of the family's 1533-position model. The record is from RNAcentral.